GAUGAAGAACGCAGCGAAAUGCGAUAAGUAAUGUGAAUUGCAGAAUUCAGUGAAUCAUCGAAUCUUUGAACGCACAUUGCGCCCAUCAGUAUUCAGUUGGGCAUGCCUGUCCGAGCGUCAUUUCAACCCUCAGGGCCCGUUCGCGGGAACUGGUGUUGGGGAUCGGCCUCCCCCCGGAGGCCGGCCCCGAAAUGCAGUGGCGGCUCUACCGCGAUCUCCUCUGUGUAGUAGCGAUACCUCGCAGCUGGAUAGUGGUGGUGCCACGCCGUAAAAUCCCAACUUUACCAAGGUUGACCUCGGAUCAGGUAGGAAUACCCGCUGAACUUAAGCAUAUCAAUAAGCGGAGGA
This 348-nucleotide unclassified non-coding RNA is filed under the name soil metagenome. RNAcentral describes it as "partial contains 5.8S ribosomal RNA, internal transcribed spacer 2, and large subunit ribosomal RNA". The stretch from base 1 to 120 matches the Rfam family "5.8S ribosomal RNA", at positions 35 to 154 of the family's 154-position model. The record is from RNAcentral.